RNAcentral lists this non-coding RNA (27 nucleotides) under Homo sapiens (human). The record is from RNAcentral. Lineage: Eukaryota; Metazoa; Chordata; Mammalia; Primates; Hominidae.
UGGAUGUCCUAGAAUUUAACCCAGUUC